AGGCACCCCCCAGCCAUCCGCAUCUCCCCCAGAGCACCCCAAGGAGCAGCUGGCGUACAUGUACAAGGCCCAGGCAAGCUGGGAAAUGCAUAUCCUCAUAAGCCUGAACAGCAUCUGCACAGAUCUAGCAGAAGAACAGAAGGUGUUGACUAACAAGUAGAAUUGGGACAGCUGACCCAGAACAGAAGGAGUUGACCAACAAGUGGAAUUGGGACAGCUGACCCAGAACAGAAGGAGUUGACCAACAAGUAGAAUUGGGACAGAUGACCCAGAACAGGAGUUGACCAACAAGUGGAAUUGGGACAGAUGACCCAGAACAGAAGGAGUUGACCAACAAGUAGAAUUGGGACAGAUGACCCAGAACAGGAGUUGACCAACAAGUGGAAUUGGGACAGAUGACCCAGAACAGAAGGAGUUGACCAACAAGUGGAAUUGGGACAUAUGACCCAGAACAGAAGGAGUUGACCAACAAGUGGAAUUGGGACAGAUGCCCCAGAACAGAAGGAGAUAACCAACAAGUGGAAUUGGG
Oncorhynchus tshawytscha (Chinook salmon) is the source of this 529-nucleotide long non-coding RNA. The record is from Ensembl. NCBI's taxonomy places the organism in Eukaryota, Metazoa, Chordata, Actinopteri, Salmoniformes, Salmonidae.